UGGUAUCUUCGUCGCGGAGUCAUUCUUACUAAAGAUAACCUUAUUAAGAGGAAUUGGCAUGGAAGUAAGCAAUGUGUAUUUUGUCUGCAUGAUGAGACAAUAAAACAUUUGUUCUUCCAAUGUAAAUUGGCUCGUUCUAUAUGGUCACUCAUCCAAAUAGCUUCUGGCUUGUAUCCUCCUUAUAGUGUUGCUAAUAUAUUUGGCAACUAG
Molecule: ribosomal RNA, 210 nt
Filed under: Triticum aestivum (bread wheat)
Lineage: Eukaryota; Viridiplantae; Streptophyta; Magnoliopsida; Poales; Poaceae
Description: partial small subunit ribosomal RNA
Source: RNAcentral